Long non-coding RNA from Triticum dicoccoides, 2390 nucleotides. RefSeq lists it as uncharacterized. The record is from RefSeq and is a predicted model, not a curated record. Lineage: Eukaryota; Viridiplantae; Streptophyta; Magnoliopsida; Poales; Poaceae. The transcript is spliced from 6 exons.
GCGACGACGGCGACGCGAAUGAUUGGGAGGAGAGAGGGGCGUACGUCGAGGCGAUCCGGGCAGGGCGGAAGGCGACAAGGGGAAGUGGGCCGCGACAAGAUCCAUGAUCCGAGGAGAUGGAAAAUACAGGGAGUUUAGAGAAAGAUAUUUUUACAGUGAGAUGGCGUUGGCCAAAACUGGAUGUCUGCAAUGCUGCAGCCAAAGCUAUGACAUUGUCUAUACAGUACAUGUCAGCAAGUGGAACGCAGAACAGUUACUCUGUGAGAAGGUACUCGGAUGGGUCAUGAGAGCAGCUCACAAUGCCUGGUGUUGGCAGUCAUGAUGUGGUGUGGUAUAAUUUCAAGACGACAAUGCCCUUAGGUUGGUGGAACAUCCAUUAUAAGGAGGAUUCAAAAUAAGUGGGGCAGUAAUUAGUUUGAUGAUGCUUUUUAUUUGGUCUGCCGUACCAGUCCACCAAUCCCUGUUAUACAUUUGGGUAUUAUCAGAAGAGCACAGUCACGUGAUGCACAUGUCAUGCCAUGGAUUCUUGGACGAAUGACACGAUCAAUUCAUGGUGCCUGCUCUUGGCAUCUGACACGACAGAUAAACAAUGGAACACCCGAGACUGAAGAUUUUUUUUGGAAAGCUCACCAAGAGUGAAUGAUCAUUUUUGUAUCUUUUAGAUUGAUUGGUGCAUGGAAAGAAAGGUUCCGGAAGAUGCAUUUGGUUGACUGGCAGCAGAGAGGAGAAGAUUACUGCAUUUCUUGGAAGGAAAAGCGAGUGUUUCCCAAAUGACGCUAAGGUCUUAAAGGAAGAUGACAAACAAACAUCUGCGGGGAAAAAUGUGCAGCUGAGGGGUUGGAUGUUGUGCAGGCAUGAGUUUUUUCCUUUUGCCCAAUCGAGCUUGGCUUUGGGAAGAAGAGAAAGGCGUUUGAUGGAGGCAGGUCCGUCCGUCCCUCAGGUGGGGAGAAGAGCCUGUGCUCCACCUGGCCAGUGAAGUGGUGGCUGGCUGCCCUGUCAAUGCCUUUGCCUUUUUUCACAAAAGAGGUAAAAAGGAGCUGUGCACUUGAAACUUUGAUGCUGGCAAGCCUACACGUACCGGGCAUUAUGGGAGUACCUCCUGCCUGUGGAGCUUGUGAGAUGAUGAUGCAGCAGCAGCAGCAACAACAGCAACAGUCAAUUUGGGUAUAAGUAAAUCCUGCUGUGCAGUGCAAUGCACACUGAGCAGUGGGUGCCCCUUUUUCUUUUUCUGCAGAUCAAUGAUUGGGAGUUUUGAGGCAUAUGGUAGGUACUUUAUGGUUUCUUUUACCCUUAGGCGGCCGCUGUAGGGCACUAGCUGAGCUUGUGCCCCAGAUUGUUUGCAACACAGUUAAGCAGCAUGAGUCCAGGACUGAGACUUGAGAGUGAGCAAUAUACUACUAUGUAGAAUUCUGCUGCGGCUGCAAGGCAAAAACAUUCCCUGUACACAAGGACAAGUGUGCCUGUAUCAUCAUAUUGGAAGCAUGCGUUUGUUUAUUAAUAAUCUCGCCAUGGAAACCGGUAAGCAGCAGAUCCCAAGAGCCUUGCCUUGGCUGUCCCAAGUACUCCCCCCCACAAGCACAAGCACUGGAGUCCAAUCCACUCCAGCAGCAGCAGCAAGCAGGGCAGGUGGCCAUCUCAUCUCAUCCCACCCCAUUUCCAUGCAUCCUCUUGUGUGAUGCAAACAAUGUUGCAGCCAGCGCAGUCUGACAGAGGAGAUGAACAGUUCGCAGGCCCCGCCACCAGGUCCGGUGCGGCAGGCAGCGCCUUUAUCGGCCGCUACAGUCCUGGUCCUCGGUCGGCCCGCGAUCGCCCGCCCUUGCCAGUGGUGAGUGACAGCUUGUCCCGACGCCGUACGUACAUGUCCAUGUGUGUUGCGUUGUUUACAGAGGAGGUGUUAGCAAUGGAGCUGCUGAUGAUGCAGCGACGCUGAGCAGAGCAGAGCAGGCGCACACCACCAUUGCUAUGCUAUGAUCAAAUCUAUCUUCUACCCUUCGUCUAUCUGCUGCUUGAUGCUGCUGCUGCUGCUGCUAUCUUGGCUGCCGUGCUUGCUCCAACUGUGGCACACCAUUUGUUCCCUUGGCAGUUGGCAAGGCACUCUUAAAUGGCCCGCACCCAGCGUCGUUGCUUUGUAAUACAAAGCGGGGAAACUCUUUUUCGGUAAUGGCCCGCACCCAGUGGUGCCCAUCUCUUCAUUUAAUGGCUUCUACUCUGCAUCGCGGGAGAAGGACCACAAGAAUGACAGAGAAAGUAAUCAGAGGGGCACUGUGGCGCCACAAUCUUUGCAUCAUGCAUGCAUCUCUCAUACCUGCCUUUCCUCUUGUACUCUUUUUGCCCCUCUCCGUUUAUCCUCUCGCCCUUGCCAAAGAACAAAAGGAACAUGACAUGUGUAC